AAGUCGUAACAAGGUUUCCGUAGGUGAACCUGCGGAAGGAUCAUUAACACGUAUCCACGUAUACACCAAUUGCGAACUGGUUUUCAACCUUCUCCCUGCAUAUUGAAGGAAUUGGAUUGACCGCGUAUCAUAUUAUGAUAGGAUAUUGUUUUUAUAAUAUCUGUAUGACGCGCUUUCACUCGUCGUCAGACGACCAAUUGAAUCAAUAUUGUCAGGCACAACUAACGCUACUGAUACAGUCGACCUAUCAUACCGACUUAUUGGUGGUAACACUAUUAACAAUUUUCACACCCUUUUUGCUAGUUGACUUUUAUUUGUUGGAAAGCGUAUGACUUGUCAUAUUCUCUUCACACGUUACUUAAUUGAACGUUAAAAUUACAACUCUUAGCAAUGGAUAUCUUGGUUCUC
RNAcentral lists this unclassified non-coding RNA (408 nucleotides) under fungal sp. RNAcentral's name for it is "partial internal transcribed spacer region". The stretch from base 1 to 46 matches the Rfam family "Eukaryotic small subunit ribosomal RNA", at positions 1786 to 1831 of the family's 1831-position model. The record is from RNAcentral. Lineage: Eukaryota; Fungi.